RNAcentral lists this ribosomal RNA (409 nucleotides) under Lecanora hybocarpa. RNAcentral describes it as "SSU rRNA". It matches the Rfam family "Bacterial small subunit ribosomal RNA", at positions 782 to 1210 of the family's 1533-position model. Lineage: Eukaryota; Fungi; Ascomycota; Lecanoromycetes; Lecanorales; Lecanoraceae. The record is from RNAcentral.
AUACCCCAGUAGUCAAGCAGAAAAUGAUGAAUGUCAUAGAUUAGACAUAUAAUAGUUUAUUCUAUAAAUGAAAGUGUAAGCAUUCCACCUCAAGAGUAAUUUGGCAACAUUGGAACUGAAAUCAUUAGACCGUUUCUGAAACCAGUAGUGAAGUAUGUUGUUUAAUUUGAUAAUCCACAAAAAACCUUACCACAAUUUGAAUAUUUAUAUUAUUUUUUUAAUCUAUUAUAUGAAAGAAAAAUGAUACAUUUACAAGCGUUGCACGGCUGUCUUCAGUUAAUGUCGUGAGACUUUGGUUAGUUCCAUUAAAUUAACGUAAACCCUCACUUUAUUUUUAUAUAAAGUAGUUCCCCACUAGAUUGGAUAAGAUAACAGGGACUAAGACAAGUCAUCAUGGCCUGAAUAUUGU